AAUGAACGUUGGCGGCGUGGAUUAGGCAUGCAAGUCGAGCGAGAACCCCGCAAGGGGGGACAGCGGCGAAAGGGACAGUAAUGUGUAGAUUAUCUGCCCUCAGGUCCGGGAUAGCUGCGGGAAACUGCAGGUAAUACCGGAUAACAUCUCCGGAUCAAAGGUGUGAUUCCGCCUGAGGAUGAGUCUGCAUCCUAUUAGCUAGUUGGUGGGGUAAUGGCCUACCAAGGCAUUGAUGGGUAGCAGGUGUGAGAGCACGACCUGCGUCAUUGGGACUGAGACACUGCCCAGACACCUACGGGUGGCUGCAGUCGAGAAUCUUCGGCAAUGGGCGCAAGCCUGACCGAGCGACGCCGCGUGUGGGAUGAAGGCCUUCGGGUUGUAAACCACUGUCAGAGGGGGUGAAAUGCAGGUGGGUUCUCCCAUCUGUUUGACAUAGCCUCAGAGGAAGAACGGGCUAAGUUCGUG
Molecule: ribosomal RNA, 465 nt
Filed under: uncultured bacterium
Lineage: Bacteria
Description: partial 16S ribosomal RNA
Rfam family: Bacterial small subunit ribosomal RNA
Source: RNAcentral